UAUUAUGUAUCAGGGUGGCAGUUCAGUUUUAUUGGUGCAUUACUUAGCAAUUUUAAUACAGUUGUUUUGGCAUUGUAGUUAAAAUCUUGCAUCGCCCCUUUCUCGUUUAGAUUUUUUCUAAUCCCUGUUCAAUAGACUCUCAGUCUGGGACUCUGCAAGACUUCACUCUCUCUGCUCUGCUGAUCUGAUUAGGUGUUAGCUGCCAUCUUGCUUUUCUUGUGUGUUAGUUCGCUUUGCUACCUGCCGGUUAGUGUGGAGCUUCAAAGGUUGCUCCUGGUUGUUUGAUUCUUAUAGUGUUGCACGAAGGGAAAUAUGAUCAGAGAAUUAUUUUUGUUGUUGCCAAGCUGGUAAAUUUAAGACAGAGAGCUAGAACUGGUAGACGAGGGAUCUUCAGGGAAGGGACUGGAACAACUGCUUUGGAUCACAAAAAUAUGAAGUGAUGGCUUAAGAUUCUGGAUGGAAUUGUACCUGUGCCCUGUUGUCAGUAGCUCAGUCUUCUGCCCUAAGGUGUCAGCUUUGCGGUACCAAUGCAAAUGAACAGGACUUCAAAAGGGAGGCUAAGAAUGAGAAGAUGUUGCAUCUAGCAGAAGACCAGACUGUGAUUGCUUCUGAUGACACUCAUGCAUAAAAGUGGACCACUGCACACCUAGCAAACUUAACUGCACACUUUAUAAAGGAUGUAGUGUGUAACAGAUGUCACUCAAUCUCAGUUGAUUUAAAAUGUCAUAAUAUAAUUUAAAAAAACAAGUCAUUAAUUGUAACUAUCAGAUGUGUGAUGUUAUUAGUAGAACAAAAUGACAAUACUAAAACAACUUAAUUCAAAACAUAAAUGUAUUUCUGCUGGCAUGCUUGGUAUUUGUUAUCAAGUACUGCAUCAGCGCUUGCCGAAGGGACAGUGGAAACACACUAGUGAUGUUUAUGUAUUCUAUAGGUUAUUUGGAAGGCUUUAGAAAGUAUAAUGUUACGGCAUAUUUUUGUCUUCAUUGUUAGCCCUAUGCCAUUGGAAGCUGUGUAUGCACUAUACAAUAAACAAUACAGCCAC
Molecule: long non-coding RNA, 1042 nt
Organism: Protopterus annectens (West African lungfish)
Lineage: Eukaryota; Metazoa; Chordata; Ceratodontiformes; Protopteridae
Exons: 2
Source: RefSeq, a predicted model, not a curated record